RNAcentral lists this ribosomal RNA (856 nucleotides) under Thyrostroma ephedricola. Its description in RNAcentral is "partial large subunit ribosomal RNA". It matches the Rfam family "Eukaryotic large subunit ribosomal RNA", at positions 67 to 940 of the family's 3401-position model. Lineage: Eukaryota; Fungi; Ascomycota; Dothideomycetes. The record is from RNAcentral.
AACAGGGAUUGCCCUAGUAACGGCGAGUGAAGCGGCAACAGCUCAAAUUUGAAAUCUGGCCUCUUUUGGGGUCCGAGUUGUAAUUUGCAGAGGGCGCUUUGGCGUUGGCAGCGGUCCAAGUUCCUUGGAACAGGACGUCACAGAGGGUGAGAAUCCCGUACGUGGUCGCUGGCCUUCGCCGUGUAAAGCCCCUUCGACGAGUCGAGUUGUUUGGGAAUGCAGCUCUAAAUGGGAGGUAAAUUUCUUCUAAAGCUAAAUACUGGCCAGAGACCGAUAGCGCACAAGUAGAGUGAUCGAAAGAUGAAAAGCACUUUGGAAAGAGAGUCAAACAGCACGUGAAAUUGUUGAAAGGGAAGCGCUUGCAGCCAGACUUGCCUGUAGUUGCUCAUCCGGGCUUUUGCCCGGUGCACUCUUCUAUAGGCAGGCCAGCAUCAGUUUGGGCGGUUAGAUAAAGGUCUCUGUCACGUACCUCUCUUCGGGGAGGACUUAUAGGGGAGGCGACAUGUAACCAGCCCAGAUUGAGGUCCGCGCAUUUGCUAGGAUGCUGGCGUAAUGGCUGUAAGCGGCCCGUCUUGAAACACGGACCAAGGAGUCUAACAUCUAUGCGAGUGUUUGGGUGUCAAGCCCGAGCGCGCAAUGAAAGUGAACGGAGGUGGGAACCCCUCGGGGUGCACCAUCGACCGAUCCUGAUGUCUUCGGAUGGAUUUGAGUAAGAGCAUAGCUGUUGGGACCCGAAAGAUGGUGAACUAUGCUUGAAUAGGGUGAAGCCAGAGGAAACUCUGGUGGAGGCUCGCAGCGGUUCUGACGUGCAAAUCGAUCGUCAAAUUUGGGCAUAGGGGCGAAAGACUAAUCGAAC